Molecule: ribosomal RNA, 253 nt
Filed under: uncultured bacterium
Lineage: Bacteria
Description: partial 16S ribosomal RNA
Rfam family: Bacterial small subunit ribosomal RNA
Source: RNAcentral
UACGUAGGGCGCAAGCGUUAUCCGGAAUUAUUGGGCGUAAAGAGCUCGUAGGCGGUUUGUCGCGUCUGCCGUGAAAGUCCGGGGCUUAACCCCGGAUCUGCGGUGGGUACGGGCAGACUAGAGUGCAGUAGGGGAGACUGGAAUUCCUGGUGUAGCGGUGAAAUGCGCAGAUAUCAGGAGGAACACCGAUGGCGAAGGCAGGUCUCUGGGCUGUAACUGACGCUGAGGAGCGAAAGCAUGGGGAUCAAACAGG